AUACGUAGGGUGCGAGCGUUGUCCGGAAUUACUGGGCGUAAAGAGCUCGUAGGUGGUUUGUCGCGUCGUCUGUGAAAUUCCGGGGCUUAACUCCGGGCGUGCAGGCGAUACGGGCAUAACUUGAGUACUGUAGGGGAGACUGGAAUUCCUGGUGUAGCGGUGAAAUGCGCAGAUAUCAGGAGGAACACCGGUGGCGAAGGCGGGUCUCUGGGCAGUAACUAACGCUGAGGCGCGAAAGCGUGGGUAGCGAACAGUAUUAUAUACCCUGGUAGCCCAGGCCGUAAACGGUGGGCGCUAGGUGUAGGGGUCUUCCACGACUUCUGUGCCGUAGCUAACGCAUUAAGCGCCCCGCCUGGGGAGUACGGCCGCAAGGCUAAAACUCAAAUGAAUUGACGGGG
RNAcentral lists this ribosomal RNA (398 nucleotides) under uncultured bacterium. RNAcentral's name for it is "partial 16S ribosomal RNA". It matches the Rfam family "Bacterial small subunit ribosomal RNA", at positions 523 to 918 of the family's 1533-position model. The record is from RNAcentral.